CAUGGGGGGAGCAGCUAGAGUGAAUGCACCAAGUCUUUUUUACAGGAGAGGGGAAUCAAGAACCAGAGGAUAUAGGUUUAAGGUGAGAGGGGAAAGAUUUAAGUGGAACCCGAGGGGCAA
This is a long non-coding RNA of Amblyraja radiata (thorny skate), 120 nucleotides long. RefSeq lists it as uncharacterized. The transcript is spliced from 3 exons. The record is from RefSeq and is a predicted model, not a curated record. Lineage: Eukaryota; Metazoa; Chordata; Chondrichthyes; Rajiformes; Rajidae.